RNAcentral lists this ribosomal RNA (500 nucleotides) under uncultured bacterium. RNAcentral's name for it is "partial 16S ribosomal RNA". It matches the Rfam family "Bacterial small subunit ribosomal RNA", at positions 30 to 523 of the family's 1533-position model. The record is from RNAcentral.
AUUGAACGCUGGCGGAAUGCUUUACACAUGCAAGUCGAACGGCAGCACGGACUUCGGUCUGGUGGCGAGUGGCGAACGGGUGAGUAAUGUAUCGGAACGUGCUCAGUAGUGGGGGAUAACGUAGUGAAAAUUACGCUAAUACCGCAUACGAUCUAUGGAUGAAAGCGGGGGAUCGCAAGACCUCGCGCGAUUGGAGCGGCCGAUAUCAGAUUAGGUAGUUGGUGGGGUAAAGGCCCACCAAGCCAACGAUCUGUAGCUGGUCUGAGAGGACGACCAGCCACACUGGAACUGAGACACGGUCCAGACUCCUACGGGAGGCAGCAGUGGGGAAUUUUGGACAAUGGGCGAAAGCCUGAUCCAGCCAUUCCGCGUGCAGGAUGAAGGCCCUCGGGUUGUAAACUGCUUUUGUACAGAACGAAAAGGUUUCUACUAAUACUAGGAGCUCAUGACGGUACUGUAAGAAUAAGCACCGGCUAACUCUGUGCCAGCCGCCGCCGUAA